CCUGCCAGACACGACUUGCCAUGCUACUAACUCGGUACUGAUGAGAACCGAGGCGUAAAAGUCUGCUCCACUGCCAACCUCUGACGUACACGGUUUGUGCUUCAGUUUCGUUGAGGACCAAUGUUGUUUCUUGGUUUCAGCUGGUGUUUAUGCACCGGUGGGCUUCUUGACCGACCUAGUAAGGGUGUUAUGCCUCGGUUAAGUGAAGAACCAAGGCAGUAACAUGUUUAAAUUUCUUCUGCGAACAGAACCACCUUCGUUCAUCUUCUUCUCAGCGCAAGUUACAAAAACCUGCGAGCUACAGAAACCCUGGCUGCCAUCUCCGUUUGCUUCCAUCUCUGUUUGCUUCCAUCGCGUUUGCUCCCAUCGCCGGUGACCGCCGUUUAUCGUCGUCGUCUACUCCUCUCCGUGUGGUCUCCACCGCCAAGUGCUUUAGUGUUUCCUCCGCUUUGCUUCCAUCUCCGCCGCGUCUCAGUUUUGGGUGGCUGUUGCGUCUGCCUCUGCUUCCAUCUCCGUCGCCAGUGCUUCCAUUUCAAUGUUGGAAAACCCUAGGUUGGUUUGUUCGAAUCAGUUCGAGGUUCAAUCACCCUCUGCACCAGGUAAUUAUGAAUUGGUUAGAAUUGGGUUAGUUUUAAUUGGAUGUAUACUAUUAGGAGAGGACAUGUUGUUAAUCCCAUCACUAUUGUUCAAAUGGAGUGCCCCUUUGGACUCGUGACAUUGAGGAGGAGAUAGUUCCUCUCUGUAGAAACUUGAGCUUCUUGGUCUUUCUGAGGAUUAGAAGCGGCUCGUAACUAUGUGGACCUCAUUUGUUAAGAAACAUCGGGUAGUUGAUGGUCCCAUAGCUGGAUCCUCUGCAUAUGCUGUAGAGGAAGUUGGUGCAUGUUGUGCAACUGGGGAUGGUGACAUCAUGAUGCGCUUCCUUCCAUGCUAUCAAGUUGUGGAAAGUAUGAGGUUGGGAAUGGAUCCCAAAUUGGCUACCAAAGAUGCAAUAGCACGAUUAGCGAAAAAAUUUCCAGAUUUUCUGGGAGCAGUUGUUUGAUAAGUUAUGUCACAUCUCUUACAUCAUUUAUGUGUAUUUCUCGUUAAAGUAUUUCCUUCUCCAUUUUAUGAAUCCUAAAAUCCCCUUUGACUUCAUGUUUUCUAUUGUCUAAUUUUAUAUUUGAAUCCUAAUAAUAACUAAUAGAGUAUUUAUAUUUUAACUUAAUGCAUAUUGUUUAGGCAAUACCUUGUUCUUGCACUAGUAAAUCGGAUGGAUUUAACACUAUUCAAAUUAAUUGCAGCAAUUGAGAGGGAAAUGACAGUAGCUCUAACACUUGGGUCAAUACCAAUAGAGGCUUCAGGUUCAAAUGGAAGCACAUUCUUCUUUGGGGAAACACUGGCUUGCUUGCAGAGCUGAGGCUGAAGAACUCGGGCAUGGCAGUUUUUCUCAAUGGAACUAUGGGUCUGAGUCAGGAACUUCAUUUAUCCCGGAGAGAACCCAGUCUAACUUUCUGGGGCACCCAAAUCAGGCUUUCUUGUUACAGUAUGCUAGUCUUGGAUAUUUUAACCCUAAUCAUUCUAAGCCACGUGUUUUGGAAGAACAUCAGCACCCAGGCAGUUUUCAAGAUUUGUCAUCCAAGAACUUGCAUGAUUUCUUGUUCAGAUUAAUAUGUUUUGUAGGAAGUUGAAGGUCUGAUUGAUUUUGUUGAAAUCAGAAAAUAAUGUAUUUUUAUUCCUCAGUUUCAGUGUGAUAUGGAAUAAAGUUAGGAAAUGGAAUUACAUGUGUGAUGAACUGGUAUCUCAUCAAGGGAGUGGGCCAAACAAUGGAUGUAAUGAAGAAAAAAAUUAGAUAUUGUUAUUGAAUACUUUUAAGAGUCAUACUUUUAGUAUUGAACAUCUAUAUUGAACAUAUGUAAUGAACCUCUUUCUUUUUAAUUUUUAUGUAUGAACAAUUAGUUGUAUGAAUGAUAUUAGGUUGAACAAUGUAGUUUAUUUUAUACAAUAUUAUUAAAUUUUAGUUCAUAUUAA
Vigna angularis (adzuki bean) is the source of this 2007-nucleotide long non-coding RNA. RefSeq lists it as uncharacterized. The transcript is spliced from 8 exons. The record is from RefSeq and is a predicted model, not a curated record. NCBI's taxonomy places the organism in Eukaryota, Viridiplantae, Streptophyta, Magnoliopsida, Fabales, Fabaceae.